Molecule: ribosomal RNA, 1234 nt
Filed under: metagenome
Description: bacterial LSU rRNA
Rfam family: Bacterial large subunit ribosomal RNA
Source: RNAcentral
UGAACACGAGACGCUACGGCGUCGAAGCAGUCUAUGUCAUACUUCCAAGAAAAGCUCGCAAUGUCAUGAACAAAUAAUGCCUGUACCAUAACCGACACAGGUGGGUAGGUAGAGUAUACUAAGGGGCGCGAGAUAACUCUCUCUAAGGAACUCGGCAAAGUGACUCCGUAACUUCGGGAGAAGGAGUGCCUUAUUUAUAAGGUUGCAAUAACAAGAUCCAAGCAACUGUUUAUCAAAAACACAGGUCUCCGCUAAGUCGUAAGACGAUGUAUGGGGGCUGACGCCUGCCCAGUGCCAGAAGGUUAAAGAAGUUGGUUAGCAUUCGCGAAGCUGAUAACUGAAGCCCUGGUGAACGGCGGCCGUAACAAUAACGGUCCUAAGGCAGCGAAAUUCCUUGUCGGGUAAGUUCCGACCCGCACGAAAGGCGUAAUGAUUUGGAUACUGUCUCGGAGAGGGGCUCGGUGAAAUAGACUUGUCUGUGAAGAUGCGGACUACCUGCACCUGGACAGAAAGACCCUAUGAAGCUUUACUGUAACUUGAAAUUGAAAUUGGACUUUAUUUGCGCAGCAUAGGUGGGAGGCGUUGAGAGUAUUCUUGCGGGAAUACUGGAGCCAUCAGUGAGAUACCACUCUUGUAAUGUUAGAUUUCUAACUUUGUAUCAUUAUCUGGUCAAAGAACAGUUUCAGGCGGGCAGUUUGACUGGGGCGGUCGCCUCCCAAACGGUAACGGAGGCGUACAAAGGUUUCCUCUGAACGGGUAGAAAUCGUAUCUAGAGUGUAAAGGCAUAAGGAGGCUUGACUGUGAGACCUACAAGUCGAGCAGGGACGAAAGUCGGUCUUAGUGAUCUGACGGUGCUGAGUGGAAAGGCCGUCACUCAACGGAUAAAAGUUACUCUAGGAUAACAGGCUGAUCUCCCCCAAGAGUUCACAUCGACGGGGAGGUUUGGCACCUCGAUGUCGGCUCAUCGCAUCCUGGGGCGGUAGUACGUCCCAAGGGUUGGGCUGUUCGCCCAUGAAAGCGGUACGCGAGCUGGGUUCAGAACGUCGUGAGACAGUUCGGUCCAUAUCCGGUGUAGGCGUUAGAAUAUUGAGAGGAGCCUUCUUUAGUACGAGAGGACCGAGAAGGACAUACCUCUGGUGUACCAGUUAUCGUGCCAACGGUAAACGCUGGGUAGCUAUGUAUGGAGAGGAUAACCGCUGAAAGCAUCUAAGUGGGAAGCCCACCUCAAGAUAAG